Long non-coding RNA from Eublepharis macularius, 5227 nucleotides. RefSeq lists it as uncharacterized. The transcript has 3 exons. The record is from RefSeq and is a predicted model, not a curated record. NCBI's taxonomy places the organism in Eukaryota, Metazoa, Chordata, Lepidosauria, Squamata, Eublepharidae.
UGACCAUUUUCUCCAAGGGCAACCCACUGAGUUCCUCCACCUCUUUUCCUAGGAAAAAAAACCUGAUUAAGCAUAUAAAAGAAGAAUAAGCAUGGCUCCUGUAAUGACCUGCCUCAUCAACCUCUAAGACCUUUGAAACUGUUAACAAAUAGGAGGAUAAAGGAGAUCCAAUAAAUGUUCUAUAGAGUCCAUGUUCUCUUAAGAUUGUUUUACAAAGUCACUCACCAGAGGCUCCUAAGUAAAUUUACCAGCCAUGGCAUAAGAGGAUAGUUCUUCUCAAGGAUUAAUUACUGGUUAAAUGCAGAAAGUAGCAGUUAGGAGUAAUUGGACUGUUUUCACAAUCAAAGAAAAUAAACAGUGAGGUCUCCCAGGGAUCUACAUUGGAAUUGAGUUACUUGCUUUUGUUCAUGCUUGUUCUGAAAUUUGGGGAAAUGGCUGAGUUUGCAGAAAACACCAAAUUAUUCUUGAUGGUAAAAACUAAAGUAGAUUGUGAGGAGUUUCAAAAGGGUCUAUCCAAGCUAGGUGAGUGGAUUACAUGAAAAAUGAGGAUUGAUGUUAAUUAUAUACAUUGGGAAACCACCUACUGUUAAAUUUACAUAUACACUGGAUAUUGUAGCAUUGGAAAAGGUACAGAAGAAGGCAACCAAAAUAACGAAGAGGUUGAAACUCCUUCUGCAUGAGGAAAGGCUAAGAAGUUGGGGGCUUUUUUUAGCUGAAAGAAAAGGUAACUGGAGGUAGGGGACAUGAAAGAGAUUUAUAAAAUUAUGCCUGGCAUAGUGAUAGUAUAUAAAGAGAACUUGAUCUCCCUUUCCCAUAAUACUGGAAGUUAAUGGGCAAUAGAUUUAGGAAAGUUAAAGGGGAAAAAAGUACUUCACACAACAUGUGAUUACUCUCAGAGCUCAGAGCUGCAGAAUGCUAGUUUAGAAGACUUUAAAACAGCAUUAGACAAAUUCAUAUAGGAUAAGUCUGUUUGUGACUACUAGCCAAGAUCACUAGAUGGAAUUCCCACAUUCACCAGCAUAACAUCUUUGAACAGAAGUGGAUCUGGUUGGCCACUGUAGGAAACAGGCUGCUGGACUAGAUGGAGCCCCCUGCAAAUUGCAAAUAAACCUUCACUCUAUGCCCUUACUAUCCUGUUUGUUUUUCUUCUUUCAGCCUCUGUAUGCAAUCCAAGACAGAUAAUGUAUAAAUUCCUGAAUGCUGGUUGUCACCCACCCAUUUGCAGCAUUUGCAGCUGACUCCUUCAAUGCUGUCAUUGAGCAGAGCAUUGACCUGCAUUAUUAAUCCAAGCAAACACCCGCAGCCUCUCUGCUUCAAGGCAACCUAAUUGCAAGUGGCUCAGAUGUGAGGAGGACGGCUUCAAAAUAUGUGUCAGAGUGUCAGUUUGCUAGUCAGUUCUCAAGCCAAAGCUACGCCAUGUUCUUAUGUUAUAAUCUGUAGUUGUUUAGCUCUCUCCCUCCAGGCCCAGGUGUUGCCCAAGCUGCAUGUACCCAUGGGAGCGAAGAAUUCUUAUCACUCUGUUCCGGCCGACCUUGAUGUCCUCGCCUUCUAGACAGGACUAAGGGGGGAGGCUGGGAAUGGGUGUUUGAAGUGUUGUUACUUUCACUUUGUGUGUCAUUCUCAACAAAGCCUUUGUUCAGCCAAGACUUACCUAGUCCUUGGCAUAUGGAUAACUGUAUCCUGAGCGUUGCCUUUCAAGAAACCUUUUGGAAUCAAGAAACUUGUGCUUCUUGCAGAAGGGGGAGGCGAACUCUAGAUAACUGGGAUUCCAUAGUCUGACAAUAUGGCCACUGGCAGCCUCAAAUGUGACAGAAAUGUGGCAGCAUGUCCAGUCCCAGACUAUUUAAAUUCCUAUGUAACUCAGUUAUAGGGAGGGCUUUCCUGAUGAGUAGCUUUUGCUUUUCGUAAUGCUUACUCUGAAAAUGAUGUGAUGGUAAAAAGCAGGGCUCAUUUUGAGGGGGAAUGUGCCAGAACGCCAUUCCGGAACCUCUGAAAGAGAUCACGUGGGUGGUGGCCCCACCCAUGUGAUUCCUUUUCCUCCCCGUGCAGCCUGUGUCUUUAGUAGUAGGCAGCGGCAGCAGCAGCAGCAGCAGCACUGAGGCGGUGCACGGCCCGCAGUGGCCUCCAGAGCCAGCCCUGCAGCCAGCUGGCGCCGCUGUGGCCUGUGCGGCCUGUCCUCCCGGCCUGCAAGCCACCUCAACGGCUCGGGGGGUGGUAUUAUAUUCUAGUCUGUAAUUGUAGUCCUAUUGUAUUGAAAUCUGCAGAAACUUUUGGCAGCUUUGUUAAGUUACAGGAAAAAAGAUGGAGAAAUGCCCACAUGUGGAAGCUUCAUCACCAGUGCGUAUUCCUUUGCAAUCACAGUGGCAAUGAAAGCAACAUGGAGAAUCCUCGGUGUGUGGAAAUAGCAUGAGUCAACAGUGACAGUUUGCUUAUAGUUUCUGAUGGAAUUCAGCUCAAAGUGGGCAUAGACGGCUGAAGAACAUCGUUCCCUGCUUGCUUCUCAACUGAACUUGGAAGAGGAGUAAGGAAGCUGAAAGGGAGUGAAAGAUUACUGGAACCUACUUAGUUGAACAAAGAUAAAGGAAACAUGGCAGAAAAGCUGCAGGCAUCUUCACAGAAAGAAAAAUAACGUCAAGUUGUUCAUGAGCUGGACGUGGAAUCUUGCUGCACAGUUCUGUACUUCUACUGCCUGUGUCCUUGCUUCAAUAAGAUGCUGAUCUUCAAUCCUUUUUGGCAUAAGCCUUGAUCUUGAAAUCUGAGUAAUGAUCCUGAACAGUUGAAAAAUAUGAAUUUCCAGAACAAUCAGUUCCUUCUUUCUGGAAAUUCAAUCACCUGCUAUCACAAUCCUGCCUUCUUAUUUGUAAAGGCAGAAAUGCUAAUAGGGUUUUUGUGACUUUCUGAAUGGACAUCAUUCCUCCAUAAAUAUUAUAGGAUGCAUGGGAUACAGUGAAUAUUAAGAUUAAUAAUUUGAUUAUUCCACAUCUUAGGUUGUGUCACUGCUUGGCUGUGAGUUGUACACAAUAUGGUGGCCCAUGCUGAAAAAGUUUUGCAUUCCUUUUAAAAAUAAUCUAGAUAGUAACCCCUUUCUUAUUCUCUUACAAGACGUGGCUAAUGCCUGCAUUUGGGGGUUCUUUCACAAGGUCCUUCUUGUCUAGUGAAUCACAGAGAAGUCUUUGCACAGUUAUUAGCAGAGUAGAAUUAUUUUUUCCAAGUUUUUCUUGGACUUGGUAUAUAAGGAAGGUCCUCUGUGAAACACACCCAAGAUGAAUGAAGCUUUUCUCCUCCAGAUUUAGUCUGGAUUCUGACUUGCAUGAACCUUAAAAUAGGGGUUUAUUAGGACCCUGAUCUAUUUACUUCUGAAUAUUCUCUCUCUCUCCCUCUCCAGUUUCUCUAGGGCCAUGCCCAGUAAGCCACACAAUGUAGCUUUGGGUUUUACUAGUACGAAUGACACUUCUCUUGAGUCUGAAGUUGACAAAAGAGCAAUGGAACAGGCACUGGAGUUGUAAAGGAGCCACUUCUGAGCCUAGGUUUUGUGCAACAUGUCUGUAAUGUUUUUAGCUUCUUGCUUAUUUCAAGUUAUAAUUGGUCUAGCUAUGCAUUUCAACAUUUUGAAAUCACUUCUAGAAACACAUCGCUCCCUGCUAAGCAUCACACUUGCAAUGUAAUCUUUUGUAAACUCUUCGGUGAUGGUGUUACAAUAGAUGUACUAAUAAAACAAUAGAAAUGUAUGUUAAAUGGCAUCUAAAAUGUUCUAAUUUUGAUUGGAAAGUUGCACAGAAUAUUGCUUCAAAUAUCUAGCCAGCAUGUGUAUGUGAGUUUCCUUAAGAGACCCUCAAAGGAAGCACAAAACACACUACUUGAUUUUGUGGUGGAAAUUACCUUACCUGCCACCCACUUGCAUCAUUAUUUUCAUUUUCCAGAAUACCUUUUUGCACCACUAAAAUUUUAAAAGAAGUUAUUUCCUCCAAAGCACAAGAAUAUACAUUUCUCAGGAACCCAAGCAGAAAAUAAAGAAAAUAAAUUAAAUAUGAUGACCAAUGGUUUCUAAUAAACAAAGCUGACUGAUGUAUGCCUUCAAAGAAAGUCUUUUCAAAACAGACUGAAUUAAAGCUUUUGGAACAUGUCCUUUGCUAGUUUUUGCAUUAAUUUGUUACCAGUUUCAAGCUAGGACUUUCAGACACAUAAUAUUAAGUAUUUGUUCUAUUUUCUUGGAAUGGAUGACAGCUUAUAAAACAAUAUGUGGCACUGUACAAUAAUAUUAUAGCAACAGGUACAUAGGAUCAGCAACGAUGCAAACACAGGCAUGUGGCCUUUGCUGACUGGGAAGAUUUCUUGCUGUUUUAAGUUGUUGGUUUGGGUAAUAAAGAGGGCAGGCUGGAUUUAUGUUGCUUUCAUUAUAAUUAUUAUCCCUUUUUAUCUUACCAGCUCCUAGGCAAAAGGAACUGGCACAGAUGGUGUUCUAAGAUAUAAACAGAUUUCUUGGCACUACAGAAAUAAAGAACAGUUUGUCAGGACUUAUGGACCCCAUGUUCUUUGGUUCUGGACACAAAUCUCUCCCACAGUGCCGAAUUACAUGACUCACUGUCAAACUUUGUAUUUGAUCUGGGAGAAAGGAAAUGGCCCGGAUCGUUGCAUCAGGAAGUGAUCGUGUCACUUAAUAAAAGAAAAAUGGCUUUCUAGAGGAAGAAGCAGAAAAUCUAAACUUAGGUCGUAUUUCUUACAUGUUUGAGGGUCCUCUGGUUGCAUUCGGUUGGAUCCCAUUGUGCUUGUAGAUGCAGAUCUUUCCUAUUUCCCCCUUCCCCUAGCAGCCACCUGAACGCUCUAAAAAGCUAAUGCUCAGAUUCACGGAAACCUUGAAGACAAAAUGUCAUGGGUCACAAGCAGCUGUCAUGUCUGUGCCUCAUCCAUGCCAUUGUUUGAUGCUGAGCUGUUAUUCUGAACCAGUGUUUAAUGCUGUACGUUGAUAUCAUAUUGCCAAUGCCAUAACUGCUUUGCUUUCACAGGCUUACUGAAGCUACAGGUGACUUAUCUAACGGCUUUGGGAGCUCUCAGUGCUUCUGACCUUGUACACUGCUCGCUCCCAUGGAUUACUGUGUUUCAACUUUAAUCUCCUGCUUUCUCAGUGUCUAGACUUGAUAGUUAAAAUAUGUGAGAAGUUCUCAGGACGGGUUCACGCCAAAAGCUAUGUUUUACUGAUGGGAGGGGGGAAAGGAGUAAUUGUGUUCUU